CCGGGGGGCGUGAGGAAACGGGCUCUGCCCCCUCCCAGGGCGGGCAGGACGGCGAGCGGGGCUCGGCCACGCUGCAGUAAAAUGGCUGCCCUGAGGGCGCAGGGACCUGCGUCCAGGCCUGGGUCCGCUGCUCGGCCGCGCGUGCCCUUCAGGACAUAAAUAAUUGGGGGUUUUUUCUGUUGUUUUUUUUUUUCCCCCUAACUGUCCUUUCCCACCGACAUCGUGGUCCUGAAGAGGUGGUUUCCUCAGACUAACCUCACAGGCUGCUGCGGGAGGACGCUCACAUCCACUUUGCAGGGUGGGUUUGGACACACGAGCCUCAAAAACGUACUCGGCUCUGUGCUGUGCCUACGUAAAUUAAAAGCGGAGGGUCACAAAAGUAUUCUGAGGUUGAGGCAAAGCCGCAUCUCGGGGGGGGCGGGUUUGUGAGCGUCUCCUGAGGGCUCCGUGCUCCUGCCGGGCACGUGAGGGAGGUUUCAUGUAGAGUUAGAUGACAAAUGUGUACAAAAGAGGGCAGAAAAGGAUUUAUUUGGCUCUAAAACAUGCGUUAAAGGCAGGAAAUGUAGCUUUAGGUAGACAAACUGCUCCCACAUGCCCCAAACCCUCAUGUCCCAGCUCACCCCAACCCAACCCGUCCCUCUCCUCACUCCUCGCUCUGAGGAGUUCAAGAGGCAAACGGGCUUUUGAAGUGAUAAUUUGUUUUCUGAUCCACAAGAUCUUAAGAGUGGUGGGAGGAAUAUUUUUUAAAAAAUGAUUGAAAUAGUACUUUGCUAAUCUGCAUUGCUCUGGUUUAUCCCUUGAUGUCUUUUGUUUCAGCACAAGUGAAUCCAUGUGGUGCCAGGAAGGUCCGGUCGGUGUAUCCACCACGGUGGGGUUGAAGUAAAAAAACCCUUUAGGCUCCUAAGUGAAUUAAGGGAUUUUGAAAAAUGUGUCAUGCCCCUUUAGCAGAGGCUGUGGUUCGUGCUUCAUUUUCCAUGUGUUAAUUAAACAUGCACAUUCCUCUAGAAAAAACAGAAACCCCGAUGACUUAGAAAAAUAUUUUCAGUCUAACAUCAUGACAUGUUUGACUGUUAUAAAUGCCUGUCAUUUUUCUCUCCUGUAAAGUAGAGUUAUGUGCAGUGCUCUAGUGAUUCUUAACAUGGGUAAUAUCCGUGUUAGAUUGCUGGUGGUUUACAUAAAGGCUGCUAUUAAUCACUGGGAGGCAUUAUGAGAAAACGCAUCUUCAGAAUCGGUGGUUUGCAAAGUAUCAACUGUCGAGGGAUUUUCUACAUCUUUCAAAGAGCAUUAUGGUUUCAGGAUGCUGCUCACAGUGGAAUAUGGAGCAGUGAGGUGGUGACUGUGGUGCUGCUGUGGUUCCAGCCUUGGUCUCUGUCACAUCAGUGGCUGCUUUUUGGGGAAAUACAGCUUUUGAACCAGCACAAUUAAACCAGCUCAUUCAGUUAUUGUCACAUUUUAAAAAACCCAACUCCAUUCCCCACAAAAAAAAAUAAAAAUCUCAAGAGACCCUGAGUACUCUCUUCCAAGGUGUAGAAUCACAGAAUCAUAGACUGGUUUGGGUUGGAAGGACCUUAAAGAUCACCAGCUCCCAACCCCCCUGCACGGCAGGGACACCUCCCACCAGCCCCAGCUGCUCCAAGCCCCAUCCAACCUGCCCUUCAACACUGCCAGGGAUGGGGCAGCCACAGCUUCCCUGGGCAACCUGGGCCAGGGUCUCACCACCCUCACAGGGAAGAAUUUCUUCCUAAUAGCUAACCUAAAUCUCCCCUCUUCCAGUUUUAAUCCAUUCCCCCUCAUCCCAUCCCUCCCUGCCCUUGUCCCAAGUCCCUCCCCAGCUUCCUGGAGCCCCUCCAGGCACUGGAAGGUGCUCUAAGGUCUCCCUGGAGCCUUCUCUUCUCCAGGCUGAACACCCCAACUCUCUCAUCCUGUCUCCAGAGCAGAGCUGCUCCUGCCCUGGAUCAUCUCCGUGGCCUCCUCUGGACUUGCUCCACCAGCUCCACGUCCUUCUUGUGUUGGGGGCUCCAGAACUGGACAUGCUACUCCAGGAGAUGCAUUCCUGACACCUCCCCAUAUCAGCAGGAAACCAGGAAUAUUCCCUGCAUCCCAACAGAAGAGCCACCUUGCACUUAGGCUAGAGAUGUGAGCAGGGUUUCAGCUGACUGUUCAUCAAUAAACCCCUCAUGCCUAGAGGAGGCUCUGCCACUUCCCCACCAUCAGGCUCGUGUCACACAAAGGCGAGAUCCAUUCUGGGACAGGACAUGCUUUCCAGGGAGAAGCAACCACUCAAAAGCUUUUGCAGGCUGAGAUUCUCUGCUUAGCAAGUUGCUGCACCUUGAAGAACAACCCCAAGAAAUGUGAGUGUGUAGUGGAAAUGUCUGCAGGCUUGGAUUAGAACGGCACUGGCAGAUGAUGCUGUUGCUUCCACAACAUAAAUAUUACAGAAAUUUCAAGUAAAUAUGGGGGAUUCUAUUUUUUUUUUUCCUCAUUUUUUCCUCACCCAGGCCAGGAACUGCUGAAGCUUAAAUAAACAAUUGCAGAAGUGA
Molecule: long non-coding RNA, 2540 nt
Organism: Apus apus (common swift)
Lineage: Eukaryota; Metazoa; Chordata; Aves; Apodiformes; Apodidae
Exons: 3
Source: RefSeq, a predicted model, not a curated record